CCCCUCUCACGGUUGCACCUGGAGAGUUUCCAGUCCUCUACCAGCGUCGGCUAUGGGAGGGAGAGUCAAGCAGAGGCCUGUCCAUUCCACUCCUAGCUUGGCCAGUGGCUAGCGAGCGGAAGGCCAUCUGCUACAAGU
Molecule: small nucleolar RNA, 138 nt
Organism: Ornithorhynchus anatinus (platypus)
Lineage: Eukaryota; Metazoa; Chordata; Mammalia; Monotremata; Ornithorhynchidae
Source: RefSeq, a predicted model, not a curated record